Molecule: ribosomal RNA, 492 nt
Filed under: uncultured bacterium
Lineage: Bacteria
Description: partial 16S ribosomal RNA
Rfam family: Bacterial small subunit ribosomal RNA
Source: RNAcentral
AUUGAACGCUGGCGGCAUGCUUUACACAUGCAAGUCGAACGGUAACAGGCCUUCGGGUGCUGACGAGUGGCGAACGGGUGAGUAAUGCAUCGGAACGUGCCCAGAGGUGGGGGAUAACGCAGCGAAAGCUGUGCUAAUACCGCAUGGGAUCUGAGGCUGACAGCGGGGGACCGGGCAGCAAUGUUUGGCCUCGCGCCUUUGGAGCGGCCGAUGUCAGAUUAGGUAGUUGGUGGGGUAAAGGCCUACCAAGCCGACGAUCUGUAGCUGGUCUGAGAGGACGACCAGCCACACCACGACUGCGCCACGGGCCACACUCCUACGGUAGGGAGCAGUCGGGACUCAUGGAGAACGGGGGCGAGAUGGUUUCCGCAAGGCCGCGUAACGGAAGAAGGCCUUCGGGUUGUAAACCGCUUUUGUACGGAACGAAAAGGCUCUGGCUAAUACCUGGGGCUGAUGACGGUACCGGAAGAAUAAGCACCGGCUAACUACGUG